AUGUCGAACAUGGCGGCGGUGAUUGAUCUGGGGUUGGAGGAGCUGCAACUAGCGCUUAUUUUGAGGUACAGGUUUCACCCCAGCAACGAGGAGAUGGUCGCGCACUACCUCACCCCCGAGUUCCGCAAACCCUACUUCUCUUAUCCCGUGGUCGCCGAUGUCAACCUAACAACAGCAAGCCAUGGGAUCUUCCGACUAAAGUCGAAGAUGGGUGAGAAGGAGUGGUUCCUUUUUGUGCACAGUGAUCAGAAGUACCCCACGGGGAUGCGCACCAAUCGGGUGACUAGGAGCGGCUACUGGAAGGUGACGGGUAGCGACAAGGAGAUAUUUCGUGACACGGGACAGUGCAUGUCCUCGUCGGCAUAA
Molecule: ribosomal RNA, 366 nt
Filed under: Triticum aestivum (bread wheat)
Lineage: Eukaryota; Viridiplantae; Streptophyta; Magnoliopsida; Poales; Poaceae
Description: partial small subunit ribosomal RNA
Source: RNAcentral